This is a long non-coding RNA of Spinacia oleracea (spinach), 1378 nucleotides long. RefSeq lists it as uncharacterized. The transcript has 2 exons. The record is from RefSeq and is a predicted model, not a curated record. NCBI's taxonomy places the organism in Eukaryota, Viridiplantae, Streptophyta, Magnoliopsida, Caryophyllales, Amaranthaceae.
ACUUGGCCGGCAAAAUGAAAUUAAAACAUAUCUAAUUAACUCUAAAAAUACUUAAAGUUGAGCGCAAAACCAAAUCCCAUAACCCAAAACCAUAUUUAAAUAGAAACUCUAAUUAGGCAAACCCAACUGCUCGUAUGAUCGUAUUUCUAGGGUUUUACUCAAAACAAACCCCAAAAUCAAUCUCCCAUUCCCGCAAAACCAAAACCAAAACCGCGCACCACUACCGAUCUCCGUCGCCGUACCGCCGUCCUGCAAUACCUCUGCCGCUCCUUUUCAAUAUCCGGUGAACGCCGAUCGACUCCCCAGCUCUCCGAAUUUCAAGGUUGGUAUCCUUAAUUUUGUUCUGCAUAUUUACCCUUCAACUAAUAACACUAGGGAUUAUGAAUAUUGUUAAUAAUCAAAUUGCAAUGUCUAAGUAUGGAAUUAUUGGUGUAAACUCUUUAUACGUAUGUGGAAGAGACUUCCAUUCAAGUUUAAGGUCGAAUCAUUGAUGCUCGAUUUAUAAUUAAGCCGAACAAUUCAUGAAUUUUUGCCGAAUAAAUCUGAUGAACUAAGUCCUAUUAAACUGAUUUUUUAAAGUUUAUAUGAUUUUAGUCGAAUUGUAUUGAAAUUUCCUGUUAAAGAAAGAAAGAGGGGGAAAAGUAAUCUUAUAGUUUGGGAGAUAAGUCAUGAUUGAUAGGAACUUAGGAAGGGAGUAAGAUAGAGAAAUAAAGAGUGUGGAAGCUAGGGAGACCGAAGUAAGUGAAACAAUUUCCAAUUUUGUUUUUGUGGGAGAUCAUCUGAUGUUUUGAACUGCCAUAGUCUACAGCAUUGAGAUUUGAGCCUCCUGCUAACUGUGAUCUUCGCAAAAAGGAUACAAUUCUAAACUGCAGGCGAUCUGAUGCAAAAGCUCUUACCAUUUCAAGUGCUGCAAAACUGGAAAACAACUCAUGGGUUCUAAAUUGCAUUGCUGGACACAAAGUGCAAGAUCUUAUUUUAAUAAAACUUCCACGUAUUUUCAAAAUACGAUUGACGAGCUAAAGGAGAGGGGGAUCUCAUACUUUACCGGAUAUCACCAACCAAAUGACGAUGAAGAUGGCAAAGAUAAUGAUGAUGAUCUAGUGUGACUUAAGCUAGCUCAAGGAGAUGCAUGGUCACCUCGGUUCACUCCUGCAGACGAACUGCCAAGUCUACCACCAGUAGACGAUUACAGUUGCUGUUGCUACAGAAUACCAGUUGCUGCUGCUACAGUAGCUCCAGUGGCUGCUGCAGAGAAAGGUCUUUGAUUUUUUUUAUUUUUUUUGUCAUACCUUGUAUGGAUCAUUUUGUCAUGAAUGAUAGGAUUUUGUUAUUGUAUGAACAAUUUUAUUUUGUUAUUGAAUGAAAUGAUUUUUGGAAA